ACGCUGGCGGCGUGCCUAAUACAUGCAAGUAGAACGCUGAAGCUUGGUGCUUGCACCGAGCGGAGGAGUUGCGAACGGGUGAGUAACGCGUAGGUAACCUGCCUCUUAGCGGGGGAUAACUAUUGGAAACGAUAGCUAAUACCGCAUAAAAGUCGACAUUGCAUGAUGUUGACUUGAAAGGUGCAACUGCAUCACUAAGAGAUGGACCUGCGUUGUAUUAGCUAGUUGGUGAGGUAACGGCUCACCAAGGCGACGAUACAUAGCCGACCUGAGAGGGUGAUCGGCCACACUGGGACUGAGACACGGCCCAGACUCCUACGGGAGGCAGCAGUAGGGAAUCUUCGGCAACGGACGGAAGUCUGACCGAGCAACGCCGCGUGAGUGAAGAAGGUUUUCGGAUCGUAAAGCUCUGUUGUAAGAGAAGAACGAGUGUGAGAGUGGAAAGUUCACACUGUGACGGUAACUUACCAGAAAGGGACGGCUAACUACGUGCCAGCAGCCGCGGUAAUACGUAGGUCCCGAGCGUUAUCCGGAUUUAUUGGGCGUAAAGCGAGCGCAGGCGGUUAGAUAAGUCUGAAGUUAAAGGCUGUGGCUUAACCAUAGUACGCUUUGGAAACUGUUUAACUUGAGUGCAGAAGGGGAGAGUGGAAUUCCAUGUGUAGCGGUGAAAUGCGUAGAUAUAUGGAGGAACACCGGUGGCGAAAGCGGCUCUCUGGUCUGUAACUGACGCUGAGGCUCGAAAGCGUGGGGAGCAAACAGGAUUAGAUACCCUGGUAGUCCACGCCGUAAACGAUGAGUGCUAGGUGUUGGGUCCUUUCCGGGACUCAGUGCCGCAGCUAACGCAUUAAGCACUCCGCCUGGGGAGUACGACCGCAAGGUUGAAACUCAAAGGAAUUGACGGGGGCCCGCA
RNAcentral lists this ribosomal RNA (910 nucleotides) under uncultured bacterium. RNAcentral's name for it is "bacterial SSU rRNA". It matches the Rfam family "Bacterial small subunit ribosomal RNA", at positions 33 to 925 of the family's 1533-position model. The record is from RNAcentral.